Molecule: ribosomal RNA, 407 nt
Filed under: uncultured bacterium
Lineage: Bacteria
Description: partial 16S ribosomal RNA
Rfam family: Bacterial small subunit ribosomal RNA
Source: RNAcentral
AUUGAACGCUAGCGGGAUGCUUAACACAUGCAAGUCGAACGGAGUGGCGGACGGGUGAGUAAUAUAUAGGAACGUGCCUGGUGGCGGGGGAUAACUACUCGAAAGAGUGGCUAAUACCGCAUACAAUCGGAGGGGCCGAUAUAGGAUUAGCUAGUUGGUGGGGUAAAGGCUCACUAAGGCAACGAUCCCUAGCUGGUCUGAGAGGAAGACCAGCCACACUGGGACUGAGACACGGCCCAGACUCCUACGGGAGGCAGCAGUGGGGAAUUUUGGACAAUGGGGGAAAGCCUGAUCCAGCCAUGCCGCGUGUAUGAUGAAGGCCUUCGGGUUGUAAAGUACUUUUAGCAGAGAAGCGUUAUCCGCAGAAGAAGCACCGGCUAACUACGUGCCAGCAGCCGCGGUAAUAC